This 253-nucleotide ribosomal RNA is filed under the name uncultured bacterium. RNAcentral's name for it is "partial 16S ribosomal RNA". It matches the Rfam family "Bacterial small subunit ribosomal RNA", at positions 524 to 776 of the family's 1533-position model. The record is from RNAcentral.
AACGUAGGUACCGAGCGUUAUCCGGAUUUACUGGGCGUAAAGCGCGUUCAGGCGGUUUGACAAGUCGGGCAUGAAAUCUCUCGGCUCAACCGGGAGAGGUUGUCCGAUACUGUCAGACUUGAGGGCAGUAGAGGGUGGUGGAAUUCCGGGUGUAGUGGUGAAAUGCGUAGAGAUCCGGAGGAACACCAGUGGCGAAAGCGGCCACCUGGACUGCACCUGACGCUCAAACGCGAAAGCUAGGGGAGCGAACGGG